GAUGAACGCUGGCGGCGUGCCUAAUACAUGCAAGUCGAGCGAACAGACGAGGAGAUUGCUCCUCUGACGUUAGCGGCGGAAGGGUGAGUAACACGUGGAUAACCUACCUAUAAGACUGGGAUAACUUCGGGAAACCGGAGCUAAUACCGGAUAAUAUAUUGAACCGCAUGGUUCAAUAGUGAAAGACGGUUUUGCUGUCCCUUAUAGAUGGAUCCGCGCCGCAUUAGCUAGUUGGUAAGUUAACGGCUUACCAAGGCAACGAUGCGUAGCCGACCUGAGAGGGUGCUCUGCCACACUGGAACUGAGACAAGGUCCAGACUCCUACGGGACGCAGCAGUAGGGAACCUUCCGCAGUGCGCGCAGGCCUGACGCAGCAACGCCGAGUGCAUGUGGAAGGUCUUCGGAUCGUAAAACUCUCUCAUUCGGGAAGAACAAAUGUGUAAGUGCCUAUGCACGUCCUCACGGUACCCAAGCAGAAAGCCACCGCUAACCUCUUC
This 497-nucleotide ribosomal RNA is filed under the name uncultured bacterium. Its description in RNAcentral is "partial 16S ribosomal RNA". It matches the Rfam family "Bacterial small subunit ribosomal RNA", at positions 28 to 507 of the family's 1533-position model. The record is from RNAcentral.